This 704-nucleotide ribosomal RNA is filed under the name Russula favrei. RNAcentral's name for it is "eukaryotic LSU rRNA". The record is from RNAcentral. Lineage: Eukaryota; Fungi; Basidiomycota; Agaricomycetes; Russulales; Russulaceae.
AAGUCGUAACAAGGUUUCCGUAGGUGAACCUGCGGAAGGAUCAUUAUCGUACAACUGAGGUGCGAAGGCUGUCGCUGACCCUCAAGGGUUGUGCACGCCCGAGCGCUCUCACACAAUCCAUCUCACCUCUGUGCAUCACCGCGUGGGUCCCCUUUGCGGGAGGGCUCACGUUUUCACAUAAAACUCGAUACAGUGUAGAAUGUUUCUYUUGCGGUCACACGCAAUCAAUACAACUUUCAACAACGGAUCUCUUGGCUCUCGCAUCGAUGAAGAACGCAGCGAAAUGCGAUACGUAAUGUGAAUUGCAGAAUUCAGUGAAUCAUCGAAUCUUUGAACGCACCUUGCGCCCCUUGGCAUUCCGAGGGGCACACCCGUUUGAGUGUCGUGAAAUCUUCAAAACCCCCUUUUUUCUUUGAACCAUUGUGGUCGGAAAAAGGGAUUUUUGGACUUGGAGGUUUAAUGCUCGCCCUUUCUCUUGAAAGCGAGCUCCUCUCAAAUGAAUUAGUGGGGUCCGCUUUGCUGAUCCUUGACGUGAUAAAAUGUUUCURCGUUUUGGGUUURGCACUGUCCCUUGGAUGCCUGCUGCUAAMCGUCUCAUUGACAAUGAUGGUGCUCCGGUCACUGCCGUCUACAUCGGCGGGAGGCUGGACCCACAAAAAGGAAACCUUGACCUCAAAUCGGGUGAGACUACCCGCUGAACUUAA